RNAcentral lists this ribosomal RNA (253 nucleotides) under uncultured bacterium. Its description in RNAcentral is "partial 16S ribosomal RNA". It matches the Rfam family "Bacterial small subunit ribosomal RNA", at positions 524 to 776 of the family's 1533-position model. The record is from RNAcentral.
UACGUAGGGGGCAAGCGUUAUCCGGAAUCAUUGGGCGUAAAGCGCGUGUAGGCGGUUCCGCAAGUCCGCUCUGAAAGCCCAGGGCUCAACCCUGGGAGGCGGGUGGAUACUACGGAACUGGAGUACGGAAGAGGAGAUUGGAAUUCCUGGUGUAGCGGUGAAAUGCGCAGAUAUCAGGAGGAACACCAACAGCGAAGGCAGAUCUCUGGGACGUUACUGACGCUGAGACGCGAAAGCGUGGGGAGCAAACAGG